Molecule: ribosomal RNA, 479 nt
Filed under: uncultured bacterium
Lineage: Bacteria
Description: partial 16S ribosomal RNA
Rfam family: Bacterial small subunit ribosomal RNA
Source: RNAcentral
UGGGGAAUUUUGGACAAUGGGCGCAAGCCUGAUCCAGCCAUGCCGCGUGCGGGAAGAAGGCCUUCGGGUUGUAAACCGCUUUUGUCAGGGAAGAAAUCUUCUGAGUUAAUACCUCGGGAGGAUGACGGUACCUGAAGAAUAAGCACCGGCUAACUACGUGCCAGCAGCCGCGGUAAUACGUAGGGUGCAAGCGUUAAUCGGAAUUACUGGGCGUAAAGCGUGCGCAGGCGGUUUUGUAAGACAGAGGUGAAAUCCCCGGGCUCAACCUGGGAACUGCCUUUGUGACUGCAAGGCUUGAGUGCGGCAGAGGGGGAUGGAAUUCCGCGUGUAGCAGUGAAAUGCGUAGAUAUGCGGAGGAACACCGAUGGCGAAGGCAAUCCCCUGGGCCUGCACUGACGCUCAUGCACGAAAAGCGUGGGGAGCAAAACAGGAUUAGAUACCCUGGUAGUCCAGCCCUAAAACGAUGUCAACUGGUUGUU